AAGAAUGCCCAUCUCAAGGUGCUAGAAGGUGCCGAAGAAAGGUUGCAGCUCGUCAAGGCUGACCUGCUGGACUAUCACAGCGUAGCGUCGGCGAUUGCCGGCUGUGACGGCGUCUUCCAUGUCGCCUGCCCUGUCCCCUCCGGCCGAUCAACCGACCACGAGGCAGAGAUCAUAGCUCCUGCUGUAACAGGCACACUGAACAUGCUGAAGGCCUGCCAUGAGGCGAAAGUUAAGCGAGUAGUCAUGGUGUCUUCAGGUGCUGCAGUGGUCGCUAAUCCUAACUGGCCCAAGGGCAAAGCCUGUGACGAAGAGAGCUGGUCAGACGAGGGCUACUGCAGAAAGAAUGGGGAUUGGUAUUACCUUUCCAAAACACUAGCGGAGCGCGAGGCUUUUGCUUAUGCAGCAAAAACUGGGUUGGACAUUGUAACUAUUUGCCCAUCAUUGGUAAUUGGACCCUUGAUGCAGUCUACAGUAAAUUCGAGCAGUAAAGUUCUCCUUAAUUAUUUGAAAGGUGGGUGUGUUAUGUUAGACUUCUCUUUGUUUUCAUUAUAUAAAAUUAUGGACAUCAAAAAGGAUCUCUGCACUUGGUUUCACGUUUCCAACUGA
This 606-nucleotide ribosomal RNA is filed under the name Triticum aestivum (bread wheat). Its description in RNAcentral is "partial small subunit ribosomal RNA". The record is from RNAcentral. Lineage: Eukaryota; Viridiplantae; Streptophyta; Magnoliopsida; Poales; Poaceae.